AUGCAGGCUCCGCGCUCGCACACCAGGCUCCACGCAGGCUCUGUGCUCGCACGCCAGGCUCCAUACAGGCUCCGCACUCGCACGCCAGGCUCCAUGCAGGCUCCAUGCUCACGCCAGGCUCCAUACAGGCUCCGUGCUCACACGCCAGGCUCCAUGCACACUGUGCUCACACGCCAGGCUCCAUGCAGGCUCCGUGCUCGCACGCCAGGCUCCGUGCUCGCACGCCAGGCUCCAUGCUCGCACGCCAGGCUCCAUGCAGGCUCCGCGCUCACACGCCAGGCUCCAUGCAGGCUCCACGCUUGCACACCAGGCUCCAUGCAGGCUCCGCGCUCGCACACCAGGCUCCAUGAAGGCUCCAUGCAGGCUCCGCGCUCGCACGCCAGGCUCCAUGAAGGCUCCAUGCAGGCUCUGUGCUCGCACGCCAGGCCCAUGCAGGAUCCGUGCUCUCACACCAGGCUCCGCGCUCACACGCCAGGCUCCACGCAGGCUCCAUGCUCGCACGCCAGGCUCCACGCUCACACGCCAGGCUCCAUGCAGGCUCCGCGCUCACACGCCAGGCUCCAUGCUCACAUACCAGGCUCCAUGCAGGCUCCGUGCUCACAUGCCAGGCUCCAUGCACACUCUGUGCUCACACGCCAGGCUCCAUGCAGGCUCCGCGCUCGCACGCCAGGCUCCAUACAGGCUCCGUGCUCACGCCAGGGUCCAUACAGGCUCCGUGCUCACAUGCCAGGCUCCAUGCACGCUCUGUGCUCACACGCCAGGCUCCAUGCAGGCUCCGUGCUCGCACGCCAGGCUCCAUGCACGCUCUGUGCUCACAUCACAUGCCAGGCUCCGUGCAGGCUCUGUGCUUGCACGCCAGGCUCUGUGCUCACACACCAGGCUCCAUGCAGGUUCCGCGCUCGCACGCCACGCUCCAUGCAGGCUCCGUGCUCACACACCAGGCUCCAUGAAGGCUCCAUGCAGGCUCUGUGCUCGCACGCCAGGCUCCAUGCUCACACGCCAGGCUCCAUGCAGGCUCCGCGCUCACACGCCAGGCUCCAUGCAGGCUCCAUGCUCGCACGCCAGGCUCCGCGCUCACACGCCAGGCUCCAUGCAGGCUCCGCGCUCACACGCCAGGCUCCAUGCAGGCUCCGUGCUUGCACACCAGGCUCCAUGCUCACACACCAGGCUCCAUGCAGGCUCCGUGCUCACACGGCAGGCUCAAUGGAUACACUCUGA
Molecule: long non-coding RNA, 1218 nt
Filed under: Bos indicus x Bos taurus (hybrid cattle)
Lineage: Eukaryota; Metazoa; Chordata; Mammalia; Artiodactyla; Bovidae
Description: lncRNA (ENSBIXG00000008289.1)
Source: RNAcentral